Molecule: small nuclear RNA, 136 nt
Organism: Nymphalis io (European peacock)
Lineage: Eukaryota; Metazoa; Arthropoda; Insecta; Lepidoptera; Nymphalidae
Product: U4 spliceosomal RNA
Exons: 1
Source: RefSeq, a predicted model, not a curated record
AAAUUUUCGCAGAGGCAAUAUCGUAGCCAAUGAGGUUAAUCCGAGGAGCGAUUAUUGCUAGUUGAAAACUUUACCAAAAUGUCUUACUUUUUGACGCACAUUUUUAAACAACUUUUUUCUAUGGGAUUAUAUUAGU